GUGCCAGUAGCUCAACUGGAUAGAGCACCCGCCUUCUAAGCGGGCGGUUGUGAGUUCGAGUCUCGCCUGGCGCG
This 74-nucleotide transfer RNA is filed under the name Oligella urethralis DNF00040. It matches the Rfam family "tRNA". Rfam says of the family: Transfer RNA (tRNA) molecules are approximately 80 nucleotides in length. Their secondary structure includes four short double-helical elements and three loops (D, anti-codon, and T loops). Further hydrogen bonds mediate the characteristic L-shaped molecular structure. tRNAs have two regions of fundamental functional importance: the anti-codon, which is responsible for specific mRNA codon recognition, and the 3' end, to which the tRNAs corresponding amino acid is attached (by aminoacyl-tRNA synthetases). tRNAs cope with the degeneracy of the genetic code in two manners: having more than one tRNA (with a specific anti-codon) for a particular amino acid; and 'wobble' base-pairing, i.e. permitting non-standard base-pairing at the 3rd anti-codon position. The record is from Rfam by way of RNAcentral. Lineage: Bacteria; Pseudomonadati; Pseudomonadota; Betaproteobacteria; Burkholderiales; Alcaligenaceae.